AUGACUGAAGCCACCAGUUUGUCAAGCCGGUUGAGAUCCGUCUUCAUCCCCAAUUUCCUGAGCUUGCUGGCUGUGCUCUCCAUUGCGGCAUGCACAAACACCAGAUCGAAUUCGGACGCGUCCUGGACGUUCCCCUCUGCAAAUCCCAGCAGAGUGAACGCCCGGUCGAUUAUUCUAGUGUCCUUAGAACUGCUGCCUGAACCGGACUGCGCGGCGAAAUCUUCAGUUCCGAAAACGUGGAAACCAAGAUUCGCCGCGAAUGAGCUAACACCGGGGCAAUUGGUGACCAUAGCAGCUCUCAGCCCCAUGAACCUGGAUUUUCAGCAGCGAGUCAGCCCUCACAGUUACAGUGGAUACACUAACAGUAACCAAAGCAAAAGAUCACACACAUCGAACCUCUCGGAUAGCUUGGGGACUACUAGCUCCUGCGGAUCCACCCGGGCAACUUCCCCAUCCUAA
RNAcentral lists this ribosomal RNA (459 nucleotides) under Triticum aestivum (bread wheat). RNAcentral describes it as "partial small subunit ribosomal RNA". Lineage: Eukaryota; Viridiplantae; Streptophyta; Magnoliopsida; Poales; Poaceae. The record is from RNAcentral.